This 2793-nucleotide ribosomal RNA is filed under the name Pararhodospirillum oryzae. RNAcentral describes it as "23S ribosomal RNA". It matches the Rfam family "Bacterial large subunit ribosomal RNA". The record is from RNAcentral. Lineage: Bacteria; Pseudomonadati; Pseudomonadota; Alphaproteobacteria; Rhodospirillales; Rhodospirillaceae.
GAGAAGGGCAUCUGGUGGAUGCCUAGGCGUCAAGAGGCGAUGAAGGACGUGGCACUCUGCGAUAAGCCAUGGGGAGCCGAGAGCAGGCUUUGAUCCGUGGAUUUCCGAAUGGGGCAACCCACCCCUUUGGGGUAUCCGUUUCUGAAUCCAUAGGGAACGGAGGCGAACCCGGCGAACUGAAACAUCUCAGUAGCCGGAGGAAAGGACAUCAACCGAGACUCCGCUAGUAGUGGCGAGCGAACGCGGACUAGCCCAGUGGCUUUGUGUUUCUAACCGGAACCGUCUGGAAAGUCGGGCCGUAGCGGGUGACAGCCCCGUACGGGUGUUGAAGCAUGAAGUCCUUGAGUAGGGCGGGGCACGUGAAACCCUGUCUGAACAUGGGGGGACCACCCUCCAAGGCUAAGUACUCCUUGACGACCGAUAGUGAACCAGUACCGUGAGGGAAAGGUGAAAAGCACCCCUAUGAGGGGAGUGAAACAGUUCCUGAAACCGGAUGCCUACAAGCAGUCGGAGCCGCUCCUUCAAAUCGCUGCGCGAUUUGAAGAUUUGGUUUGUUCAAUCAAAUCGUGGAACGAUUUGAUGGGGCGGUGACGGCGUACCUUUUGUAUAAUGGGUCAGCGACUUAAUCUGGCGAGCAAGCUUAAGCCGAUAGGUGUAGGCGCAGCGAAAGCGAGUCUGAAAAGGGCGUCGAGUUCGUCGGAUUAGACCCGAAACCGGGUGAUCUAGCCAUGGGCAGGUUGAAGGUGGAGUAACACCCACUGGAGGACCGAACCCACGUCUGUUGAAAAAGACGGGGAUGACCUGUGGCUAGGGGUGAAAGGCCAAUCAAACUCGGAAAUAGCUGGUUCUCCGCGAAAGCUAUUUAGGUAGCGCGUCGGAUGAUGACCUGCGGGGGUAGAGCACUGGAUGGGCUAGGGGGCCGCGAGGCUUACCAAACCUAACCAAACUCCGAAUACCGCAGAGUUUAGUCCGGCAGACAGACUCAGGGUGCUAACGUCCUGGGUCAAAAGGGAAACAACCCAGACCACCAGCUAAGGUCCCCAAGUCACGGCUAAGUGGGAAAGGAUGUGGGACGGCCAUAACAACCAGGAGGUUGGCUUAGAAGCAGCCAUCCUUUAAAGAAAGCGUAACAGCUCACUGGUCUAAUAGCUAUCCUGCGCCGAAGAUGUACCGGGGCUCAAGCCGUGCACCGAAGCUGUGGAUUUCGUCGAUAAGACGAAGUGGUAGCGGAGCGUUCCGUAGGCCGAUGAAGGGAUUUUGUGAGAAAUCCUGGAGGUAUCGGAAGUGAGAAUGCUGACAUGAGUAGCGAAAAGAAGUGUGAGAAACACUUCCGCCGAAAGUCCAAGGGUUCCUGCGCAAGGUUAAUCCGCGCAGGGUGAGCCGGUCCCUAAGCCGAGGGCGAAAGCCGUAGGCGAUGGCAAUCAGGUUAAUAGUCCUGAGCUCGUGGGUCGUGACGCCUUUGAGCCGUUGUUUCCUCUUAUCGGAUUGAGGGAGCAGCCAACAAAGGCCAGGAAAUAGCCCCACAUAUGAACCGUACCCGAAACCGACACAGGUGGACUGGUAGAGUAUACCAAGGCGCUUGAGAGAAUGGUGUUGAAGGAACUAGGCAAAAUGCCCCCGUAACUUCGGGAGAAGGGGGCCCUCGGCUUGGGCAACCAGGCCGGGGGGGCACAGACCAGGGGGUGGCGACUGUUUACUAAAAACACAGGGCUCUGCGAAGUCGCAAGACGACGUAUAGGGUCUGACGCCUGCCCGGUGCCGGAAGGUUAAGAGGAGAGGUGCAAGCUUUGAAUCGAAGCCCCGGUAAACGGCGGCCGUAACUAUAACGGUCCUAAGGUAGCGAAAUUCCUUGUCGGGUAAGUUCCGACCUGCACGAAUGGCGUAACGACUUCCCCGCUGUCUCCAACACCAACUCAGCGAAAUUGAAUUCUCCGUGAAGAUGCGGAGUUCCCACGGCCAGACGGAAAGACCCCAUGAACCUUUACUACAACUUCGCAGUGGCAUUAGGCGAUGGAUGUGUAGGAUAGGCGGGAGGCUAUGAAACGAAGGCGCCAGCUUUCGCGGAGCCAUCCUUGAAAUACCGCCCUUCUGUCUCCUGAUGUCUAACCGCGGCCCGUGAUCCGGGUCCGGGACCCUGCGUGGUGGGUAGUUUGACUGGGGCGGUCGCCUCCUAAAGAGUAACGGAGGCGCGCGAUGGUGGGCUCAGGCCGGUCGGAAAUCGGCUGAUGAGUGCAAUGGCAAAAGCCCGCCUGACUGCGAGAGCGACGGUUCGAGCAGAGUCGAAAGACGGUCAUAGUGAUCCGGUGGUCCCGCGUGGAAGGGCCAUCGCUCAACGGAUAAAAGGUACUCUGGGGAUAACAGGCUGAUACUGCCCAAGAGUCCACAUCGACGGCAGUGUUUGGCACCUCGAUGUCGGCUCAUCACAUCCUGGGGCUGGAGCAGGUCCCAAGGGUUCGGCUGUUCGCCGAUUAAAGUGGUACGUGAGCUGGGUUUAGAACGUCGUGAGACAGUUCGGUCCCUAUCUACCGUGGGUGUAGGAUACUUGAAAGGAGCUGUCCCUAGUACGAGAGGACCGGGAUGGACAUCCCUCUGGUGUACCAGUUGUCACGCCCGUGGCAUCGCUGGGUAGCUAAGGAUGGAAGGGAUAACCGCUGAAAGCAUCUAAGCGGGAAGCCCCCCUUGAAACAAGGUAUCCCUUGAGGAUCGUGGAAGACCACCACGUUGAUAGGCCGGGUGUGGAAGCGCUGUAAGGCGUGAAGCUAACCGGUACUAAUGAUCCGAUAGGCUUGAUCU